AUGAGUGGUCGGGUGCGGCGCUGCCUGCGCGGCCGUGCACGGGCUGACGCGGCAGAGGACGGAGGGACUCGCGACCUGAAGGCUGCACAGGUGUUGUCCAUGCGAAGGAGGAGUGCUUGCGUGAGUGCGCGAGGUGCUGCUGGAGUUUUUGUGCUGCUGCUGCUGCGUGAGGCGGCGGGAGGAGGUAGGAGAGGUGGUCAUGGAGCUGCCGUUGCUGCUGCUGUUCCUUGGGAGGAAGAGGUGUUGCUUGCUGCUACUGGUGGUGGUCAGUGCUACUGCUGUUGUGGGAUGCUGUUGUUGGGUGUGUAG
This 309-nucleotide ribosomal RNA is filed under the name Triticum aestivum (bread wheat). RNAcentral describes it as "partial small subunit ribosomal RNA". Lineage: Eukaryota; Viridiplantae; Streptophyta; Magnoliopsida; Poales; Poaceae. The record is from RNAcentral.